Molecule: long non-coding RNA, 863 nt
Filed under: Musa acuminata (dwarf banana)
Lineage: Eukaryota; Viridiplantae; Streptophyta; Magnoliopsida; Zingiberales; Musaceae
Description: long non-coding RNA (MACU_LNC006094)
Source: RNAcentral
UUUGGUAUAAUAUUCAAGUUCAGGAUGAUGACACUGGGGACACUCUUCGUUAACCUUAUCACACAAGAGUGAAUCAUAGUUUACAUGUGACAUUCAAAUGAAGAAACACAGUUGGUCUUAAGUUGCAAUGCACAGGAUGAAUCUUCAGGUGCUGUCUUUGGAACACUUCAUUAUCAACAGGUGCUGUCUCAAGGAGUACAAAGGGUCAAUCUUCAGUUCUGUUAGUGUAAACUCCUUUUUUUCUUAGCCGUGACCCGAGAGGUCGUCUCGGCUCGUUCGGGGGUCCGAAUGGCGGGGAUCUCCCUGGGGCGAUGCUCGUCUCCACCGGGGCGGUCGGGUGCGGCCUCGGACUCGGGGCGAUACAGCGACUUCCUCCGGGUGGGGACUCCUCGCCUGCGCGCCCCGAACGGGAAUCCUCGGCUUGAUACCUGCACAAAGGUCGGGUCGGCUUAACCCGACCCCUCCGACGAUCAAGUUAGAGAGAUGCGGUCGCGGUUGUUCGGGGGGUUCAGCCUGGUCUCUUCCCUCUGGCUCGAGGACGUUUAUAGGGGGAACUCGGCACUAUCGGGCGCGCCCUCCCGUCGGUCGGGGCCGUAUCUCUGAUGGCGUCCGACAUCGCCGAGGACCUUGCGUAUGGGAACGGGGAAUCGCAGGGUAUGGGCGAGCUUCAACCGCUACCUACUCCUGUCUCGUCCUACUGUGCUGGGUCAACUGAGGGACUGUGGGCACAGUGAGGCUGACGUCCGGACGCAGACCGUUGCCCUCGUUGCUCUCCCUGGGGCGCCGCGCCUGUCCACGUGCGGGGGGCGUCGCCGGGAGUGGGGUUUACCAUUUUUUACCAUAUCAAGUUCUCUUCUAAUAUC